GUGUCAGCAGCCGCGGUAAUACGUAGGGUGCGAGCGUUAAUCGGAAUUACUGGGCGUAAAGCGUGCGCAGGCGGUUAUGUAAGACAGAUGUGAAAUCCCCGGGCUCGACCUGGGAACUGCAUUUGUGACUGCAUGGCUAGAGUACGGUAGAGGGGGAUGGAAUUCCGCGUGUAGCAGUGAAAUGCGUAGAUAUGCGGAGGAACACCGAUGGCGAAGGCAAUCCCCUGGACCUGUACUGACGCUCAUGCACGAAAGCGUGGGGAGCAAACAGGAUUAGAAAC
This 281-nucleotide ribosomal RNA is filed under the name uncultured prokaryote. RNAcentral describes it as "partial 16S ribosomal RNA". It matches the Rfam family "Bacterial small subunit ribosomal RNA", at positions 505 to 785 of the family's 1533-position model. The record is from RNAcentral.